GGAUUUUUCGCUAGCAUUUAUGCUUAAAUGCGCUGCAAUUGUUCUUAAAACGCUGCCAACCUGCACGCGAUGAUGGAAAACCUCAACGAUUUCCAUUUUAUUCUGGCCGUUGUUUUUUUUUUUUUUUUUGUUUUGACUGCGGCGGCUGUUGCUCAUAACUUACAAUUACGUGCAGCAUUUUCUUUUGUUUCUUAUUGAUUUUUCGUUUUCUUUUUUAUUUUUGCACUGAGGCGAAGAAACAAAAAAUUGGGUUAAGCUGUUUUGCAUUUGCAGUGAGUCCACACGCGCCCAGAUAGACGAUUCCCACGAUUCUUUCAGCCUCGCAGAUUGGAUAUGGCCUGCAGGAGGAGCAGAAGGAGCAGGAGGAACAGGACCUGCAGACAGUUUGUCUAUAAAGUUCUCCCCCGACCAGAAAAUGAGAACCUCUUGCAUAAAGCCAAUUAAAUUAAGAAAUCUGAUGCAGUCCGACGACAACAACACAAGCAGCAGCAGCAGCAAAACAACGACACAUGGAAUGAACAAAAAAUCGAAAAGAAAAAACAGAAUACAGAAAUGAAAUGAUGCAGAAACGUGAAUCACAGAGGAAUCUCACUCCCACCUCCAGACGAGCAUUUCAGCUCCAUCCGUCUCUGUUGCUCCGUGCGGAUGAGCCUGGCAAUUGGUAUUUUACAACAAACAGAGCUCGCGUUCAGCUUAUUUAACAUAAAUCGAAUGGCUACUGAAAUACACCCGGUCAGCCAGUCAGUUAGC
Non-coding RNA from Drosophila melanogaster (fruit fly), 750 nucleotides. The record is from Ensembl. Lineage: Eukaryota; Metazoa; Arthropoda; Insecta; Diptera; Drosophilidae.